CUCAGUCAUUAAAACAGUCAGCAGAGAUAAAUAUCCCUGGCAGUCGGUUUGAAUGCUAGCUGUUCUGCAAAGUUCGUCGCACGCUGGAAAUAUCCUUGAUCGGCGGACCAACACUGUUGAGUUCCUGGGCCAUAUUAUUCCAAAAAGCUACCGCUUCUUCUUUAGGGCACUUAUUUUACUGCAAAAACUUGUAUAAAAAUUCCGAUAAAAUUCAAAAUUUAAGGUUCCGAGUGAAUUCAGUGAAUGCCACUCCCCAAAUUUCGAACUUACGUUCGAAAUUGAUCGAUUUUACAUCUACGAUGGAUAGCGUGAGGGGCUGAAUAUAUAUUAAGAAUAUCGUGGAAAGUGGUGGUGCGAGAGUGGCGCAAGUUUCAGUCAGAAAUUUUUGUUUUGAAUAUCUGAUAGUAAACAGUUGGCACUGGAUGAAAAAUAUAUAAGUUUCAUUUGAAUUAAUAAAGAAUUGAAUGGAAAAAUGUAUUAAAUUAUUAACCGUUCCAACAUAAAUAAAGUGUUAAAGAUUGAAUUAAAGCCAAUUUUCAAAUUUAAUUUAAAUAAAAUAAGAAAUAUAAAUUUGUCAACAACAUCAACUUUUGGAAAAACUUGCUGGAAUCCAUGUAUAUUACAACCAUAAAACGACAAAUAACGCGAACUUCAUCGACUUGUUAUAAACCGGUGCACGAUAAAAAUAUCGAAUAAUCGUUGUGCUAUUUAGAUUACAUUUAUCUUUCUUUAAAGUCAGAGGAAAGGACACCAAUAACAAACAAUCAUAUGUGCACAUAUAUGUACACAAACAUCAGCAGGUGCAACAUUUAAAACAUUUUUUACAACAAUAACAUGUCUGAUCUUGGCAGUGGCGACGAAGGCAUUUCUGGUUCAAAAUACAAUGCAAGCGGCAUGGAAGGCACAGGUGGAAGAAGUGACUUCGAUUCUUCUGGCAAGGGUAAGUGUACAUUGACGAAUUAAGUU
Molecule: RNA transcript, 966 nt
Organism: Bactrocera tryoni
Lineage: Eukaryota; Metazoa; Arthropoda; Insecta; Diptera; Tephritidae
Exons: 6
Source: RefSeq, a predicted model, not a curated record